AACGAAUGCCCUGCUGUCCAAUCACUUGCCACCAAAGAUUGUUGAAGUAGUGUGCUGCAAGCUGACUCCCUUACAGAUGACACUGUACAACCACUUCACACACUCCAAAAAUGUUAAGCGCUUGAUAUCUGAAGAAGCAAAGAGUACUAAAGUUUUGGCAUAUAUUACUGCUCUUAAGAAAUUAUGCAACCAUCGAAGGUAAUUAAUUCCAGUUUAAUGUUUCGCCCCACGAUAUAUCUCUUUCAGUGGAAGUAGUUUCGACAGUAGGAUCAGAGUUUAUUACAAUCUUUUUUUAAUUAGUUAAUGUACGCACCUUGCUAAACCCCAACACAUUGAGUUGUCUCGUCUGGCUCCGCCGCUGCACUUGGUCGAUGUCCUCACCUGGCAUCAUGAUGAGGUGGUGGCCGGUGGGUGGCGUGAGGAGCGGCAACAGACUCGUUUAUCUUGU
Triticum dicoccoides is the source of this 448-nucleotide long non-coding RNA. RefSeq lists it as uncharacterized. The transcript is spliced from 3 exons. NCBI's taxonomy places the organism in Eukaryota, Viridiplantae, Streptophyta, Magnoliopsida, Poales, Poaceae. The record is from RefSeq and is a predicted model, not a curated record.